This 1073-nucleotide long non-coding RNA is filed under the name Capsicum annuum. RNAcentral describes it as "long non-coding RNA (CANN_LNC011572)". The record is from RNAcentral. Lineage: Eukaryota; Viridiplantae; Streptophyta; Magnoliopsida; Solanales; Solanaceae.
UAAGAAGCAAACUAGUGAAAUUUAUGAAAAUUGCUCAUAAAAAUAUUGAACGCUUAACUAAUACAAACAUAACUAAUACAAGCAUUACUAAUACACUCUAUUAUCAUUAUUCAUAUACACUCUACCAAACGACCCCUAAACGUACAAAUCAACAAAAAAUCAGGUGUUUAAAAUCAUUGUUUCAUCCUCUCCUUACAUAACAGAAAAGACCAUAAAAACAAAACAAAUCGUACAUCCCCUUGCCCCCUUUACCAAUUCUUUUCUCCCUUGUAGCUUGUAACUGGUUUGGAUUUAUUUCUUCUUUCCCUUUCCAAGUUACUUUUCUUGAUGAAUAUGAAAGGUUGUUUGGCAUUGAUGCACCAUUGUAAUCUCCUCAAAAAGUAAUAUUUCUUUUACUAGUAUUUUGCUUCUUCAGCCAUUCUUAAAGUCUAAAACUAGUUUCAAACUACACCACUUUAGGCUAUAAAAUACGGUCUGAAUCAUGCCCUACUAGAAUGGAUCUCUAGCUAGAGAUCUCAUUCAAAUCAGGUAGAGAAUAAAGAAAUACUCACUUUCUUGAGUGUUUUGGUGGUUCUGUCAAGGGUACAUCUUGAGAUUCAUGGGAAUUUCCUUCUUCUUAUUUGUUUUUUCCAUUGAGCUAUGUGGAAAAAAAUUACACUAAUAAUGAUAGCUAGAUGUGGAAAGGAAAUAAAUUUAUUAAAUUAUGAGUAUUACCAAUGGACAUUUUUUCUUAUUGUGGUUUGGUUCACCGCAAUAACCACAAGUCAUUAACAGUCUUGUUUGGAAGCUGACCAUAUCUCCUGCCCAUUCUUAGCAUCAUCAUUUUCUCUUGUUCUUUUCACCUUUGGUCUACCAACCAUCUUAGCUAUAGUAGGGGGCUCUAUGGCAUGGUAUGGCUCUAUUUUCAGAAGUUUUCACCCUUAACAGGUUGAAGUUUAUGCUUAUAUACUAUUAAAUAUGCUCCUUUAGAAUAGCACAAAUAUAUCUUAUCAAUAGGGAAAAGUUUUGUAUGGAGAAAUGCUUUAAUGGAAUAAAUACAUGGGAUUUCGAUUAAGACCCAUGCUCUGCAUGUG